ACUUUGAAUUUAGUAUUUAACUGCACUUUAUUACCCGUCAGUCUGCACGCAUCCGUGCGCUCGUUGGUCGAGAAACAAAUUAUUCAACCGCCACUUUGCUUUUGGCCAAGCGCGCUUUUCCCACAGCUGUUUUACUUAAGCGAUAAAACGCAGCGACAACUAUCAGUCGCCUGGCUAUCGAUUUGACCCAGGGAGGGGAGCAACUAGCUCUGCCAAUCGAACUGGUUCCGAGCCGAAAUUCAAAAAUGUCAUCGCUUUUUACCGAUGCUCAACCCGAAUUUCUGUGUCGCCGCCGGAAGCAGUGAUUCACAUUGGGCUUGACACCCUGACAUCGAUUGUUCCAAGCCACCCAGGCGGAGAAUCCUUGCUGUUUCCUGAUGUACUUCGCACAGGCAAUGGAAUACCGGAUAUCGUCGCUCAACAGCAGGCGGCAGGGCAAGCGACACAGAUCGUUGGAUGGACGACCAUCCGCCGGCUUGCACCAGUAACGAUCGUUGAUCUGGAAGAGACCCCAGUCCACGGAUCCAUCAACGUUCGAGGGAUUGAUGGCUUUUGUGUUGAACGAGCUCUCGCCCUCCACGAGGCACAGCCAAUCGGGUAGCUCGUUGUAAGCCAUUCCGUAUCGAUACAGCUGCCGGGCCAAACUGCAUCUGCCCACCUGGCGGCCAGUGGCCAGUGAUAGCGUUAAGAGCACCAGCAGCCAAAUGGGCCACAUCUUCCAGAAACAAUGCAGGCUUCUAAUGGUAACUCGUGGCUUAUAUAGCCAUCCAGUUUGCUGCGAGAUUCGGAGCACAACUUGGCCCAAUCUAAUUUUUACAAGCACUCAUUUGGACAGCUCUGAAGUGUGGCCCACACUCGAGCAUAAAUUAUCAACACUAGGCGACAAAGAUUGGAAGUCAUAACCAUCUCCAAUUCUUUUAUUUUGUUGGAGCUAUUUCGGAAAGGCUAUUGCUCUGAGAAAUCAGUAGAUAUAUGGUUAUUUUAGGGUGUAGAACUAAAACUACAAUUCUCUAACUUAACUUAAAUCCCAAACAUGCAGAUGAGUGUCAGACUUUCAAUUCUCGAUCAUUGAAACAGGCCGAUCGGGCCAGUUUCGUUAAUAUAUGGAGUGGGAAUCGCUCGCCAUUUAAGCGAGGCAUCUGCCUGGCCCCAGAUUCACUUUCAAUGGGUUCUUUUGUGCGAUGCUCAGGUAUUAUAUAACCAUGUUGACAGCUGGAGGGGCCGGAGCACUUGAGAUCGCGUGUGCGCCAACAAUCGAACAAAAACCCCGAGAGA
Non-coding RNA from Drosophila melanogaster (fruit fly), 1275 nucleotides. Lineage: Eukaryota; Metazoa; Arthropoda; Insecta; Diptera; Drosophilidae. The record is from Ensembl.